AGCAAUGCAAAUCUUUAACCUCAUGAAUUUUCCAAUCAAAGUACAUAUCACAGAGUACAACUGAGGCACAUCAAGCUCGGCACAAAGGAAUAAACCAAGUAAUGUUUAAUAGAUCAGGCUUGAGUAGCACAUAGGGCAGCGAGAUAGUACAAAAUAUUGAAAGCUAAGCAUUUACACAGGGGGCUAGUGACAAUCAGAUAGCAGUCCUUCGCCAAGAAUGGUUGAAGUUCCUCGUCGCUCAAAGAAAAGUUGAGUAACGUUGGCCUGAAAGUGAUGAAAAAACCAUAUUCCUGGAGAGGAUAUCUCAACAUUUUUACAAAAAUUGAUAUCUACAGUGACUAAAAAGGAACUAUCAAGAAGGCAAGAUUAGUAAACUGACAUCAAGCAACUCAUGUAUGUUUCCUUUAAAUUAGUUUGGGGAGUGUGGUAGAAAAUGCAGCCGAAACUACCAAGAGAAUCAAGAUGGUUUAGUACGACAUAACACAAGCAGGCCAUAGUAGUAGUUUGAGCCAAUCUAAGAGCACUAUUUUAAUAUGGCAUAGCAAUAUAAACUUCGUCAAAACAUCUUGGCAUCUGGAUAACUGGUCAUCAGGGCUGAAGCAAAUGAUUCUCGAGUCUCGACGUCAAUCGACCAUCAGUGGUGAGUCUCCUGCAUGAAGAAGGCAUUGUCAUUUAUCAGUAAGAGGUUAGUCAGCAAAUAUGUCACCUAAAGACGUACAGCAUGAAGAAAACGGAUCGAUAUUAGGCGCAUGUAAAAAUGUGUCAAACAGAUAUAAGAACAAAAGACUCUACAUUCUGAAGUAUGACUGGGGCAGUAGGGUUAAAAACAUGACGACAGCUGCGACCAACUCAAUCAGGAAACUAAUACCUAUAAAGGGAAAUGCAGGCAUGUCUCAAUAGAUAUAAACAACAAAGUUUGUUAUCUAUAUUGAAUGAAAUAGAUCAAUGUAAACUCGCCAUGAAAUGAGACCAAAUAUAUGGGGCUCCAUGGGCAAACAACACCUUUAUUGCUUCAUGCUGAACUACUUUAUGUAAGAGAAAAUUUUAAGCUUUAGUGGCAAGCAGGCAGGUGAAGUGUCAUAUUAGUAAAUGUGCAAAAGGUUAUCUAUUGAAUACCAUGUGAAUGGAACAUGUCUGCCUUGCAUACAAUUUGGAGACUAAAGAAGCUCAAACCAAAGCACCAGAUGAAUUUAAAGCAGCAAUUGCGAGAACAAAUACUUGGUCUACAGAAUGUUCCUAGAGCUCCACCACAAAAAUGUGUUGGUCUAUUAUCUCUUCCCCUGGAGCAAAGCAAGAUGGAAAAUGAAGAAUGAAAACAAUGCGUUUAAAUAAGGGACAUGCCAGGAGGGUGGCUCGGUGUGCAAGAAUAUAAAUUCAGUACUUGUCCUCCACCGUUGUCGACGAUGCAGCCACCUCCAUGCGGCCAUUGUGUCACCACAGUUGUUUCUCAAUUAAAAUGUGAACCAUCCAAAGGAAAUUUAUUAUUAAAGCUUGUAGCGAACCACCUGUGUAAGGAAGGUUUCAUUGUUUAUCAAUAAAAAACAAUUUGCAAAGCUUAAUCAGCAAAGUUCGGGAAAGCGCGCUUAAUCGAGCGCUUAUGCGCGCCUACGCGCAAGGCGCUGGCCUACCGCCUCGCAUAGGCCAUGUGCGCUCGUAAAGGCGCGACGCGUGCCUAGGCGGAGCGCUUUUCUCGCUAAGGCGAGCUUAAGCGCGCGGAACAGCGCAGAACGGACGCUUAAUGGCGCAGAACGACGAGAGGGGAUCCAUCGGGGAAUCAGGAUAAAGAGGCAGGGAGCCACGGGAUGAAAGGCAGAGGGUCAAAAUCAAGCCCGUGUUAGGGUUAGGGUCUCCUCUCCUCCAUUCCUCGCGUCGCCGGACUCUCCUUGGGGCCGCCGGCAGCAGCACGCCCUCCGCCGUGGAUCUGAAGCUCCUCCUCGCGCCUCUCCUGCUCGGGCCCUCCCCCGCACCUCCGGUUCCUGGCCUUCGACCUCAUCCCGCCGUGGAUCUCGCGGCCUGGUCUUCUUCUCUUCAGGCAGGUGAGCCCCCAGAUCCCCAUCGAGCCUACCUUCUACUACUAGCUUCUGUCUGUUGCUACUUUGCUGGUGCUACUAGUUGCCGCUGAAGUGAUGUUAGCUGCUGUUGGUGGUAGUUAGUGGUGUUGUUUACUAGUAGAGUAAAAGUAGUAGUACUUGGUGUUGUUGCCUGUUGCUGUUAAUUUGCUGCUGCUAGCUGCUACUGUUGUUUGAUGCUGCUACUACUUGUUUGCUGCUGAUGCUAGCUGAUGCUGAUGCUAGCUGCUGCUGCUACUUGUUUGUUGCUAAUGCUAGCUGCUGCUGCUGUCUGUGGCUACUAGCUGCUAAUUUGUGUUGUUGACUUGUUGUUGUAGGAUGUCAACAUCAGAGAACACCACCGCCGAAACAGAGUCUGAAAGGCCGAUAGCUCUUAAGAGGAAAUCCAAUGAUGUUGGAUGGAACUAUGGGAAACUAUGUGAUGUCACAAACAAGGAGAGGGUGAAGUGUGACUUUUGUGGCCAUAUUAGCACCGGAGGAAUUAACCGUUUCAAGCUACACAUCACAGGCACCACCUCAAGCGUUCUUUCAUGUUUAAGAUCAACUCCGGAGGCUAAAGCAAUAUGCCAGAGAGCACUUGAUGCAUAUGAGGCAAAGAAGGUGGCGAAGAAAAAACAUAUGGCAGAAGUGAGGGCUGAUGUGCAUGUUACAGCCCUAAAUGAAGCAAGGGAUGGUAGAGAAUCUGUUUGUGUUGGAAGCACAUCAUCGGAGCCCAACAAAUUAGGACCAAUGGACAAGUUUGUGCGUCCUAUUGAUGGUAAAUCAAGCAAAGAGGAAGCCUUUUAGCAGCUAAGUAUGAAUGAAGCACUAUUCGAGGAGAGAAGAGGUCAAUGUUCACCAUAUGUUGCUAGAUGGGUGUAUUCACAUGGUAAUUCUGAAGUCCUUCAUUUCUUUGCUUGCUUGUGCUUGAAAUGAUUGCUUGAUUGCAUUGUUUUGUUCCUUUGCUUGUAGGCAUACCAUUUAAUGCUCUUGACAAUGAUGAGUUUUGUCAAAUGUGUGAGGCCAUAGGCAAAUUUGGUCCUGGAUAUGAGCCUCCUACUCAAUAUGAGCUUAGGGAGAAGUUGUUGAGUGAUGAAUAUGCAAGGACCAAGAGUUUGUUAGAUGAACGUGAGAAGGAGAAGAUAAAGCUUAGGUGCACCAUCAUGACAGAUGCAUGGACGGACAUGAAGAGGAGGAGCAUAAUGAAUUUGUGCAUGCAUUGUAGUGGGGGGACAAGUUUUCUCAAAUCAAAGGAAACAUCCGAUGUGUCACAUACAAGUGAAGUCAUAUUUCAGCUAGUGGACAGCACAAUUGAGGAGGUAGGGGCGGAGCAUGUGAUGCAAGUGGUGACUGACAAUGCUUCCAAUAACAUGGGAGCCAAGAAAAUGUUGCUUGAGAAGAGGCCGAAGAUCUUUUGGAGCUCUUGUGCAACUCACACUAUCAACUUGAUGCUCCAAGGAAUUGGCAGCCUCAAGAGAUUCAAAACAAUAAUUGAUCAAGCAAAGAACCUCACCAUCUUCAUCUAUGCGCAUCACAAGACUUUGGCAUUGAUGAGGGUUGCUACAAAAAGGAGAGAUAUCAUAAGGCCGGGGGUGACUAGAUUUGCUUCCACUUUUCUCACAUUGCAAAGUUUGUUGGAGAAGAAAGAUGCUUUAAGGUAUAUGGUGGUUGAAAGAGCUUGGGAAGAUAUGAGUCAUGUGAAAACAAAGAAAGGCAAGGAUGCAACGGCAACGGUGAUGGAUGCUAACUUUUGGAAAGGUGUGCUCCUAUGCAUAAAGGUGUUUGAGCCAUUGGUGAGAGUUCUUCGUUUGGUUGAUUGGGAUAUUAAGCCAUCAAUGGCUUGGUUGUAUGGAGAGUUGGUGAAUGCAAAGAGGGAGAUGAAGGAGGCAUUUAACAACUUGGAGAGAAACUACAAAGAUACUAUGGGCAUUGUUGAAAAGAAAAUGAAUGGAAGGCUAGAUUCUCCACUGCACAUGGCCGCAUAUGUGUUGAACCCACACUACAGUUAUGCAGAUAGCUCCGUCUUUACCACUGCAAAUGAAGGAUUUCAGGAGUGUGUUGAACAAUACUAUGCAAAUGAUCAUGAUACUUGCAUGCUGGUUGUCAAUGACGAGUUUCUGAAAUAUGAAAACAAAGAAGGAACUUUUGGAAAGAAGCUUGCAAAAGCAUGUGAAAAUAAAAGCUACAGCCCCGGCAUACUUGCUUGCUCCUGCCCACUAGUUGCUACUCUUUUCUUGCUGCUACCAUGCUACUGCUGCUCCUACCUUGAUGCUGCUGCUACCAUGCUACUGCUGUUUUUUGCUGCUGCUACCUUGUUGCUGCUGCUACUACUAACUUGCUACUGCUAUAUGUUCUCCGAUUUCUAGUUGGUUGGUGGAAGCUUUAUGGAGGAGAAACACCAAAUUUGAAAGAAAUGGCUAUGAGAAUCCUCUCUCUGACCUCUAGCUCUUCUGGUUGUGAAAGAAACUGGAGUGCAUUUGAAUCGGUAUAUCUCUUCUCUCAAUUUUGUCUCCUCAUUUGUCUUGUCUCUCGUUUUUGUUUUUAAAUAUGCUCAUGCAAAAUGAUGUUUAAUAUGUAGAUACAUACCAAGAGAAGAAAUAGGCUCACAACGGAGCGAUGCAACAAUUUGGUCUUCAUAAGGUUCAAUAAUAGGAUGUUGUCUAGGAAACAAAAGCUCCUAGAGAAGAAGAAAUGGGAUGUGCUCAUUAGCACCGAUGCUACCGAAGCUCAAGGAUUUCUAUUUGAAGGAGGGGAUGAUUAUGCAAGUGUUGUUUAUCUUGAUGAGGAGGAUGGAGAUGUUCAUCCGGGUAUGGGGAUAUCAUGGGAUCUACUUGGUGAAGCAAUGGGAGCACAAGAGCAACUCCAACUUCGGAGGAGUGCAAGAGUGAGAGACCUUGAGGAGGAGUUUGAAUCCGAUCAUGAUGAUGAGAUGGUGGAUGAAGAUGAGAUUGAGUAUGAGGAUGAUUGAGAGGCAUUGAGCAUUUGAGCUAGUGAUCAUUGGCUCAUUGCAUGAUGGUUGGCAGCACCAUGCCAUUAAGUGAUCAAGUUAUCAUGCAUUUGUCUUUUGCUUGUUAUUUGUUAUGUAAGAGACUAUGAUGGAGUAUUCACGGGUGAGACUAUUGUGGAUCAUGGUCGUGGUACUUUGGUUUGGUAGCACUAAGCAAGUUUAAGACUUUUAUUUGUUAUGUAAUAUGCUUGCUUGUGAAGUUGUGAACUUGUGAUAUGUUCUGCCUAUUACAUUGCCUGUUUGCUACUUUGCUAGUUUGCUUUGAUUGCUCAUUCAAGUUGUGAACUUCAGAACUUGUGAUAUGUUCUGCCUAUUACAUUACAUUUUACAUAUAUGAAUGGUGAAUCUGAUAUAUAAUGCUUUGCUUGCUCGGUUGCUCCUUGCUUGUUGGUUGCUGCUGCUAACAUCUUGUCAUCUUCUCUAUGAUGUAUUUAGCUGUUGCACAAUGCAUUGGAGGGAGACGAUCAGAGUAGAACAUACAAAGAGGCAGGGGCAACAUAUUGGAGAGAGAACAAGGUUAUAAACUUAUAAUUGUACCUCCAGUUUACAUUCUAGCACUUUUUUAUGUCAAACUGCUCUUUUUUGCCCAUAUCCGUACAAUUAUAUAGAAAACGCAUAAUUGCGCCUAAUCACGCCUAAUCACGCCUAAGCUAGAAAAGCGCAAGUAGGUGGCCAAACGCAUAAUUAACGCCUAGCGCUUUCUCAAACUUUGUUAAUCAGACACACAAAGUUAAAUUGCAGAGCAGAAAAUAUUAAGGAACUAAAUGGCACAUGCUAGGAAAAUAGGAAGGCACAUCAAGGAGGUAUAUAUCAUAAUUAAUAGGGAGAGUAUUUUUUUCAAAGUAGAGAGAGGGGUCCUUCAUUACAAUUGUUCAUUCAAUUCUUGGAUCGUUUGAGCAAACAAAUCUGAUGAAACAAUACAAUAAUAUUAACAUGUAUACUCACAUUAUAUCCUCUUAUGAACAUUUACUCGGACAUUAACUCUCAUGAUUAUUUGAGUAAACAUAUAUAACAUCAGCGACCAAAGAGACGUGCACCUUAUAGAAUGCAUGUCGUGUAGGCAAACAAACCAAACAGAUACAUUACUUAUACUUAGGACAGUAAAUUUGCGUGCUUUGGUCGUCACUGAUUCCAUACAUAUAAAUCAAAAAAGGAAUAAUGCCACUGUUUGACGUUUGGUAUGAAAGGUGAACAGGGAAGCAUUCUCUUCAGGUAACCGGUGGUCUAACUGAACAAUUUUACGAAGUGGGGAAUUGAGGAACCAAUCCUUUGGUUCAGAAUCAUCUCUUACUAUUUUAGUCAAGGCACAUAGAGAACUAAAAUGCAGCUAUCAUUAAAUUCCCCACCAGCCACAAUGGCAACUACAGUUGGCCGUCUAUAUGAACCAGUUAUAAUCACUAAAAUAUCAUGGAUCCACAACAAACCAAGAAAGAGAUACCUCCAAAUGGAGGAGGCAAUCUCAACAAGACAGUUCGAAGGAAAUAACACAUCAAUACUACUAAGAAAACGAAGAUUGGUAGCUGCAGUGCAUGUAUUACAGUAGUACAUUGAGCACCUGAGACAGUAGCCGAAUCCGAAGGAGAAGUAGCCACACACCCAGCAACGACCCUGGCACCAAACUCUAACCUGGCAGUACUAUAAAACACAUUGACACUCAAUUCACAGCACAUAAAUAAUUAAUACAUAGUCACAAGUCAAAGAUAUAUUUCAAUGUUACCAAAGCCAUUUUCAGAAGCAAAUACCAGCACUUUAAGUAUACUGGAACAAAAAUAAACCAAAACUAAAAAAACUACUAACUAAUGUGGUCGAAAAACACCGGAUACUGAUCUAUGAAAUGUACCAACCUUAUUUUACUAAAUCUUCCACUACCAGAUGUGAUGUUAAAUAUCAAUUGAUAAUUACUAAUUUGUAUCUGCAAAGUAUCAUGAUAAAAAUGAAAUACCAGAUCAGUUAGAGAACACAAUUAUGCAAAAUACUGAUAAGAAAUCUGUAAAUAUUUGUGAUCGGUGUAUUUUUAAAAUAAAGCAAAUGCACCAUCUUAUCUUUCUUAUGUAGGUCAUGCCAGUUUUAAGCGAACUCUUUGACAUUUUCCAUAUAAAAAAAUGUAAGUGCAACCUUUCUAUACGACUGGCCAAUGUAAAAAGCGGUCAAUAAUCAAGAAGUAAUGAAACAUCGGUCAUUUCAGUUCACAACCAUAUGGCAUGGCACUAAUAGAAAUGGAGAUAGGUAACUGUUUCAAUGCCACCAUACCUUCAGAUUUCGGAGUUAUAGGGAACAUCCUACAGGGAUAAAUAUAGCCUCAUAAAAAGAACAUCCAGUCUUUACUUAGGGUAGAUUAAUCCCCAUUUGUAUUGUUAAUUGCAUGUAUUCUUCCUUUGUCUUCCUCUUGUGCUCAUUCACAGAUAAGCGCAUUGAUCAUGUAGAAUUUGUAAUGAUGUGCAACCUGCCAGCAUGCAACAAUUAUAUCAGCAUUAGAAAGUCAGGGGCAUUGGCAAACAACAAAUAGGUUAGGGAGAAAAAAGUUGACACGCAAAUUUUCAGUGCAAAAAGAAAUUGAUCCAACCAUGACUUCUACUGGUAAUGCUAAUAUAAAAUCUGAUAUAGCAGAAAGUAGUUUUAGCCUAGAAAGACAAGAUAGAUCAUAGUAGAAAUAUUUAAAAGCGGCAAAUCCACCUAUUAUAAUGCUCAGACCUAAGCUAAAUAGGACUAAAAUCUGGCUCCUAUUAUAAUGCUCAACCUAACCUGAAUAAACUAUAACUCACUCACUAAAUUGCACACAUAUACAACAAUCAUACAAUGCAUGCACCACAGGCAGAGCUCAGAUUAUAUAAACGACUGCAUCAUACUGACAGCACACUACUCUAGCUACACUCCAAUGAAUAUUUUUUUACAAAUCAUAUCUGCAAUGACAUUGGCUUGUUUGAUAUCCCCAACAGCACCACACGUGCAAGCAGUACCAACAAACACAUCAAUAGGUUGCUUCUAGGACAUAGCUAAAGGUACAAAAAAUCAGAGAAGGAACAAAAAUCACAUUUGUAUUCCAGAAAAAAAACAAGCAAGGAAGAAAAGGAGGCCACAAAAAUACAAGCAAGGAAUAAUACUCUUGGACUCUAUCUAGUCUUCCGACAAUAAGAGUACAAGAAACAGGCACACCCAUUGACCAGCCUGCACACCAACAGGAACAACAAGCAGACAUAGACUGAGUACAACAGCAGCUCCAGACAGGCAAGCUAGGCAAACCACAUGGCCGCAAAAACAUAUGCCUAGGCCUAGAAAGCAGAGAAGAAGAGGAGAAAGGGGCAGUGAUUACGAGUCGAACGGCUAGUCUAGACUAGUCGCUCGACUAGUCUACGAGUCGCAGAGUGGAUGUCGACUCAUUUUCUCGUGUAGACUACAAAUACGAGUCGAGCCGUGGAUGGACUAGUCGACGACUAGUCUGGACUAGUCGACAUAUAUGAGUCGAGCGACUCAAAAAAGAGAGCUGCCUCAGCUGGGACGAGGCGCCGCCAGCACCCACUGCCCUGCCGCCGCCGCCACCCACCGCAGGGACGGCGGAUGGCGCAGCCAGGUGCGGCGGCCGGCCGGAGCUCGUGCUCAGGCGGCGGCCAUGGCCGUGACCCGUAGGGGCACGCGGCCUUGAGACGGGAGAGAAGGAAGAGAGAGAGAGAGGAGAGGAAAGGAGGAGCCAUGGCGGUGGUCGGCGGGCUCGCCGGCGGCAGCGGCCGGGACCGGCGGAAGGCGGCAGGAGGCGCGGGUCGCGUGCGCGCAUGCUCUCGUGCGUGAUGGCGCUGGCGGCGGCGAUUGGAGAGGUCGGGAGCUAGGGUUCCAGUGGCUGGGGGCUAAGUAGGCUGGCCAUUUGGGCCCAAAUGGGCCAGCUGGGGGGUGAUGCAUGGUGCUGGGCUAGUAUUUAGACAGUGGCUGGUCCUAUUCCAUACCCACUUGGGCCCAGAACACUGCAUAGCUCAAUGAUUUAGACAGUGGCUGGUUUUAUUGCAUACUGUACUGUUAGUAACUUAGUAUAUACUACAUACUACCACUAGGUAUUAGUAGCUGAGUACUACAGUACCAUGUCGACUAGUCUAGCACUAGUCUAGACUAGUCUCGAUUAGUCUAUGAGUCUCUACCUCGAAACGACUCGUCGACUUGUCGACUCGUAAACCUUGGAAAGGGGUCGACCUGCAAAGCACCGGACGAAGACCCAACAGACUGGCACAGAUCGAACGACGAACCGACAAGAACAGCGAGCACGUGCGAACGAUGGACGAACCUGCAAGAAAACAAAACUCAAAAUUACAGAUGAGCUGCAGGUAACCAGAAUUUAGACGGACAAAACAAACAAGUACCUACAGAAGAACACAUCAACAUAUCUGGCAAGAUCCCAAAAUCGGCGGCUGGCCGUGCAACUGCAACUGGGGAGGCAAAUAGCAAUAACGGAAGUUACUUCGAGUUUGUUCCUUCAGAUUAGUGUUAAAGUAUGUCAAGAUUUAACUGACGCAAAGUAAAAUUGUCAAUGAAGGUAAAAGUGGCUGAAUGAAUGAAAGUAGCUAGGUUUUGCAAGCAUAAAGUUCCUUGCCAGGAAAUUAAACCCACAAUACUUGGAUAUUUGUUGGCACUUAUCGAAUAUUAACAGAAGUUCCUCACAGAGAUACUACAAUAGUAAUCCUAGAACAGUUUCUGCCAAAUAAAUUCUAAACCUCAGCUAGCAACAUAUUUGUGAAGCGCAACUGAAAGCUUGUUUAGAAAAAUAAAUCUAUAGCAAUAUAAAAAGACCCAAAGGGGCAGAUCCAAUUAAUCUCGGCCAUCAAAUCAUGUCAAUCCAACGACCUAGACUGCUUCAAUGUCGAGCGCUCAACACGUUUAGCGUGUAAUUAAUUUCAUGCCAAAUAUAAUAACACGCAAAUAAUAUCCUACUUAAUAUCCGCAUCCACUUGAUAUACUUCCAAAUUAAUGUGCAUUGCACGUACACAUUGACUAGUUUUUUAAAUAUGCGAUUAUCCCUUUUAAAGAUGAACUAAAUUAAUUUUUGAAUUAAGUACGCAAUCUAGUCCCUAGAAGAAUCAACUCGUAGGUGUGCAAUUCAAAUUUACUACACGUCCACUUUAUAAUCCAAGCACAGAAAAAAUCAAAGCAUGGUAAUAAAUGAAAGGAAGUACUAUCUCACAGACUGCAUUUUUACAAACCUAUAAUAACAAGGCAUGCAAAAUACUAAUGAAACAGUCAAUUUGGGUGGUGGCUACAAAACAUAAAAUAAGCUUCUUCAUUUCUAGAGGAAAAUAUAUAAAUCAACAAUCAGAUGGAGCAAGGCUGGCCUUUUCAAAGUUGCACUCUAGCCACAUAAUACUAAUACAGUCUAGGGGCGUUUGUUUUUGAUAAUCUACUAAUCUUUAGGAUAAGAAUGACAUUCUUUGCCCCAUGAGCAUCAGCGACAACAAAGCGGCGUCGCAUGAUGAAGCGGAUGCCGGCACAGGAAGAAGCUCAUGUAGGAUCUACAAGCCUACAAGGACUCAGACGAAGCGAGGCAUUGGCCUUCCGCUCCUCCAAGUUCUUCCAGCAUGAGGGAAGCUCCUGCCUGGUUCUAAGCAUGGUGAUUUCUCUAUAAUGCAGUUAGAUCAGACGAUCUCAGAGGAUGCAUUUUCCACGACAGUAAAUAGGAUCUGAAGAUUGGCCUCACUGGAAAAGUGAGUAUAAUGAGAUUCAUUGUCAUCAUAAAUUUGUAGAUAAAACAGGAUGCUACCGAUAAUAUUAAGCAAGUCAUGUACCAACUCCAGAGGACCACAACCAAUGUCUGCUUCAAGUUCCUUUAACCCUUCCUUCCUUAGCUAGAGCACAAGGAAGAACACAAAAUCAGAUCGUGAGAACUACAAAAAUGUAAGUCAUUGAUCCUAAGCACUCACCAAAGCUAGCCAGAUCCUCCCAUGGCAACCAACCUGGCACUCCACAGUAGAACCUCACCUCUGGCAUCGUCCACUCCUCGUAUGUGUUCCUCGUUACACCUGCAUGACAUUGGGCUAGCUGUAGCUGGUGAC
RNAcentral lists this long non-coding RNA (11081 nucleotides) under Triticum aestivum (bread wheat). RNAcentral's name for it is "long non-coding RNA (TAES_LNC005705)". Lineage: Eukaryota; Viridiplantae; Streptophyta; Magnoliopsida; Poales; Poaceae. The record is from RNAcentral.